AGAAUCACUGAUGACUACAGGUGGGGUUUGAGCCACAUAGAUGACCACGUGCCUGGAACUCUGAGGUCCAC
Small nucleolar RNA from Molossus molossus (Pallas's mastiff bat), 71 nucleotides. RefSeq annotates it as small nucleolar RNA SNORD113/SNORD114 family. The transcript has a single exon. The record is from RefSeq and is a predicted model, not a curated record. Lineage: Eukaryota; Metazoa; Chordata; Mammalia; Chiroptera; Molossidae.